RNAcentral lists this unclassified non-coding RNA (418 nucleotides) under Haliotis rubra (blacklip abalone). RNAcentral describes it as "uncharacterized LOC124268980, transcript variant X3". Lineage: Eukaryota; Metazoa; Mollusca; Gastropoda; Lepetellida; Haliotidae. The record is from RNAcentral.
AGGGUAUUACGUGCGGUACUUGUCUCCUGCACUGUGCGCAGGGCAGACCAAGCACCAACACGCAACUGAGAAAGUCGGUUGAUCAUUUCUCUAGUUCAAGGUAAAGAAACAGCUAAUUCAAGGUAAGGAAACAGCUAAUUCAAGGUAAGGAAACAGUUAAUUCAAGAUGGGAGAUUAUGAUCAUUUGGAACCUCAGGGACAGAAGGACUAUUCGAUGUCCAGCGCCGGGGCCACGGCUCAGAUGGUGCACCUGUGGUUGAUGGUGGGCGUCAUGGUGAUUGCCGUGCUGAGACACUGGACCAGGACGUGAACCCAGUUACCACAGACUCAACAACAACUGAGGUCCAACAUCAGCCCCUUUGGAGUCUACCUUCGAUGGAAUCACGAUCCUGAAAUAUAUUAAAAAGACCUGAAUGAA